CGCUGGCGGCAGGCUUAACACAUGCAAGUCGAACGGUAGCAGGAAGAAAGCUUGCUUUCUUUGCUGACGAGUGGCGGACGGGUGAGUAAUGCUUGGGAAUCUGGCUUAUGGAGGGGGAUAACUGUGGGAAACUGCAGCUAAUACCGCGUAUUCUCUGAGGAGGAAAGGGUGGGACCUUAGGGCCACCUGCCAUAAGAUGAGCCCAAGUGGGAUUAGGUAGUUGGUGGGGUAAAGGCCUACCAAGCCUGCGAUCUCUAGCUGGUCUGAGAGGAUGACCAGCCACACUGGAACUGAGACACGGUCCAGACUCCUACGGGAGGCAGCAGUGGGGAAUAUUGCGCAAUGGGGGGAACCCUGACGCAGCCAUGCCGCGUGAAUGAAGAAGGCCUUCGGGUUGUAAAGUUCUUUCGGUAAUGAGGAAGGGAUGUUGUUAAAUAGAUAGCAUCAUUGACGUUAAUUACAGAAGAAGCACCGGCUAACUCCGUGCCAGCAGCCGCGGUAAU
This 503-nucleotide ribosomal RNA is filed under the name Pasteurella multocida. RNAcentral describes it as "bacterial SSU rRNA". It matches the Rfam family "Bacterial small subunit ribosomal RNA", at positions 34 to 524 of the family's 1533-position model. Lineage: Bacteria; Pseudomonadati; Pseudomonadota; Gammaproteobacteria; Pasteurellales; Pasteurellaceae. The record is from RNAcentral.